GGCCUAGGGGAUGCCAAAUUCCAGGGUCCAGAAAGAGCUUGGGAUAAAAUGAAACUUCAAGGGGACGGCUUUGACCUGGGCUGAGUCUGCCUGUGCCGAGUCUGCCUGUGCCAUCCAACUGGAGUCUCAAGUCCUGAGGCAGGACGUCCAGGUGCCCCAAUGCAGGGUCCUCCUGAUCAACACCUGCUCCCCUGUACUCAUUAGCAACCUCACCCACCCUACUCUCAAAGCACACUUGGCUCUCAUAUCCAGGAGCUCUGCAUCUGUAGAUCCAGCAACAGCAGAUGGAAAAUAUUCAGAAAAUAAUUUGGAUGGUUAUGUUUCUAUU
RNAcentral lists this non-coding RNA (328 nucleotides) under Pan troglodytes (chimpanzee). The record is from RNAcentral. Lineage: Eukaryota; Metazoa; Chordata; Mammalia; Primates; Hominidae.